This 693-nucleotide ribosomal RNA is filed under the name uncultured bacterium. Its description in RNAcentral is "bacterial SSU rRNA". It matches the Rfam family "Bacterial small subunit ribosomal RNA", at positions 141 to 850 of the family's 1533-position model. The record is from RNAcentral.
GGAUAACGUUUGGAAACGAACGCUAAUACCGCAUGAUAUUAUUGGGCAGCAUUGCCUGAUAAUCAAAGGAGCAAUCCGCUGAAAGAUGGGCUCGCGUCCGAUUAGGUAGUUGGCGGGGUAACGGCCCACCAAGCCGACGAUCGGUAGCCGGACUGAGAGGUUGAACGGCCACAUUGGGACUGAGACACGGCCCAGACUCCUACGGGAGGCAGCAGUGAGGGAUAUUGGUCAAUGGGGGAAACCCUGAACCAGCAACGCCGCGUGAGGGAAGACGGUUUUCGGAUUGUAAACCUCUGUCCUCUGUGAAGAUGAUGACGGUAGCAGAGGAGGAAGCUCCGGCUAACUACGUGCCAGCAGCCGCGGUAAUACGUAGGGAGCAAGCGUUGUCCGGAUUUACUGGGUGUAAAGGGUGCGUAGGCGGCUUUGCAAGUCAGAAGUGAAAUCUAUGGGCUUAACCCAUAAACUGCUUUUGAAACUGCAGGGCUUGAGUGAAGUAGAGGUAGGCGGAAUUCCCGGUGUAGCGGUGAAAUGCGUAGAGAUCGGGAGGAACACCAGUGGCGAAGGCGGCCUACUGGGCUUUAACUGACGCUGAGGCACGAAAGCGUGGGUAGCAAACAGGAUUAGAUACCCUGGUAGUCCACGCUGUAAACGAUGAUUACUAGGUGUGGGUGGACUGACCCCAUCCGUGCCGGA